This 525-nucleotide long non-coding RNA is filed under the name Cinara cedri. Lineage: Eukaryota; Metazoa; Arthropoda; Insecta; Hemiptera; Aphididae. The record is from RNAcentral.
CGAAAAUCUAACCAUUCCAAACGAAAGAGCAUACAUUUUUCUAUAUAAUGGCAUAUUCUUUAGAGAUCUUUUUUAAAUAGUUAAAAUUUUAUGAAGAAUAUAGACAAAAUUUUAGUAUCGUUCGAUAGCGAAUUUUCACGGUUUUUUCAAUAUUAAAUUGAAAAAAAGUGAUACUUCUAAGCCGAUUUUCGAACAUCUGAUUAUUCCAAACGAAAGAGCAUACUUUUUUCUAUAUAAUGGCAUAUUCUUUAGAGGUCAUUUCAAAAUAGUUAAUAUUUUAUGAGGAAUAUAGACAAAAUUUGAGUAUCGUUCGAUAGCGAAUUUUCACGGUUUUUUCAAUUAUUAAUUGAAAAAAAGUGGUAUUUCUAAGCCGAUUUUCGAACAUCUGAUUAUUCCAAACGAAAGAGCAUACUUUUUUCUAUAUAAUGGCAUAUUCUUUAGAGAUCUUUGCUAAAUAGUUAAAAUUUUAUGAAGAAUAUAGACAAAAUUUUAGUAUCGUUCGAUAGCGAAUUUUUACGGUUUUUU